RNAcentral lists this ribosomal RNA (234 nucleotides) under uncultured bacterium. RNAcentral describes it as "partial 16S ribosomal RNA". It matches the Rfam family "Bacterial small subunit ribosomal RNA", at positions 99 to 334 of the family's 1533-position model. The record is from RNAcentral.
CGGACGGGUGAGUAAUGUAUGGGGAUCUGCCUGGUGGCGGGGGAUAACUACUGGAAACGGUAGCUAAUACCGCAUAAUGUCUGCGGACCAAAGCGGGGGGACCUCCCGGGCCUCGCGCCAUCAGAUGAACCCAUAUGGGAUUAGCUAGUAGGUAAGGUAACGGCUUACCUAGGCGACGAUCCCUAGCUGGUCUGAGAGGAUGAUCAGCCACACUGGGACUGAGACACGGCCCAG